Molecule: ribosomal RNA, 849 nt
Filed under: Lentisphaerota bacterium
Lineage: Bacteria; Pseudomonadati; Lentisphaerota
Description: Lentisphaerae bacterium (anaerobic digester metagenome) partial 23S ribosomal RNA
Rfam family: Bacterial large subunit ribosomal RNA
Source: RNAcentral
GAAAGACCCCGUGCACCUUUACUGUAUUCUGACAUUGGGUCCUGGUUUCUCAUAUUUAGUGUAGCUGGGAGACAGUGAAGCCCCGACGCUAGUCGAGGUGGAGUCAACAAUGAAACACCAGUUUUGAGUAAUUGCGAUUCUAACCCCGCGCCGUGAAGCCGGCCGGGGGACAGUGUUAGAUGGUCAGUUUGACUGGGGCGGUUUCCUCCCAAAUGGUAACGGAGGAGUUCGAAGGUUCCCUCAUCAUGGUUGGCAAUCAUGAGUGGAGUGUAAGGGUAGAAGGGAGCUUAACUGCGAGACCUACAAGUCGAGCAGGUGCGAAAGCAGGACCUAGUGACCCGGUGGUUGCAGGUGGAAGCGCCAUCGCUCAUCGGACAAAAGGUACGCCGGGGAUAACAGGCUUAUCGCUGCCAAGAGUUCACAUCGACGCAGCGGUUUGGCACCUCGAUGUCGGCUCAUCGCAUCCUGGGGCUGGAGAAGGUCCCAAGGGUUUGGCUGUUCGCCAAUUAAAGCGGUACGUGAGCUGGGUUCAAAACGUCGUGAGACAGUUUGGUCCUUAUCCUCUGUGGGCGCAGGAAAUUUGAGGAGAACAUACCUUAGUACGAGAGGACCAGGAAUGACGUACCUCUGGUGUUCCAGUUGUUCAGCCAUGAGCAUCGCUGGGUAGCUAAGUACGGAACGGAUAAGCGCUGAAAGCAUCUAAGCGCUAAGCCUCCUCCAAGAUUAGAUUUCCCUAUCGCGUAAGCGAUACUAAAGGCACCCCGAAGACUACGGGGUUGAUAGGCUGGAGGUGUAAGCACAGUAAUGUGUUAAGCUGACCAGUACUAAUCCGCCGUGCGGCUUGAUCAU